Molecule: long non-coding RNA, 1522 nt
Filed under: Homo sapiens (human)
Lineage: Eukaryota; Metazoa; Chordata; Mammalia; Primates; Hominidae
Description: LHRI_LNC109.10
Source: RNAcentral
CUCAUUUGUCAAAACACUCUGACAUUAUCUAUGUAUGAUCAUUUUAGAGAUUGAGGAAAAUAAACUCAAGAACUGGUGACUUGCCCAGGUCACACUACUGGUGGGUAGCAAAACAGCAGCUAGAAUCUAUAGCUUCUGGCUUUCCAGCCAGUCCUUGUUCCACUACAUUCAUUACUUCUUUGCUGGACUGAAAAGCUUAGGACUUUUCCUGUAAGUAAUACGGAGCCAUUGAAGAUCUGAAGUUUCAAGGAAGUGGUAGGAUGGAUUCUCUUUUACUAUAAGGUUCAGAGUCUGGCUUGCAGACAAGGUACAGAUGGAAAUCUUCCUGGACUCAGGCCAAGAAGAGGAGAAAGGAGGAAGGAAAUAUGGUUAUACUUUCCUUGCUAAGGAAAUCCAACCCUCCACAAGGCAGCUUUCUUCCCAUCCCCUUGACCUUUUAGGAAAAAGCCCUGUGCCCAUCCUGCUGUGAUUCAGGAGUCUCGCAGAAGACAUCAGAAUGCCUUUCUCUGAGUCACAGUCUGUAUCUUCUAGAAAAGGCUGUCCAUCUUCACCCCAAGCCCACUGGCUCCUGAGAUACGACAUCCAGACCCAGUGCAGCUGGACCUGGCCCAGGAAGAUCAUGCGGUUUCUGGGAAGCACUGGAGAAGGAAAAGGCUGAAGAAAGGAAGACCGGAAAAGAAAUACAAGUCCUUCCGCCUUGGCAAAGAUGAUAGUACCGUUCCCUUCAGUGUUCCGGUUCUGCUCUAUUGGAUAAGUUCCGGUUUGACUAUGACUACGUGAAAAUGUGGAACCAGACCUUCACCCCACAUUCCAGCUCCAGCUCUACCACAGAGGAAGUGCAAUAUCACCUUAGUUAUUCAACACAUUAUGCUCCUCGUGAUACAACCAGAGUUCACAUCAGCAAUCUUGGCAGCUCUCACCACGCUGCUGACUCACGACUCUCUCAUGUCCCAAUUUCCUGUCCAUUGUUCUUUCCUCUACUUGGCCUGAUUUCUAAAGGCCUCUCUUGGUUGCAUUAAGCGGGAUUCCUGAGGGAUUCCCUUGGCAGUUACCUUGGGGGAGCUCUUAGGUUUGGGGCUGAUCCAUGUCCUCUAAAUGUAGGACUUCAAAGCUCCCAAAGAUAGGCAGGCCCAGUGGGAAGCUGGGAAAUGCUCUCUGACCCCUCUGGGAGGGCUGGCAGUCAGAGGGCCUUUUGGAAAGAGUCAGACCUGAUCCAUAAGUCCCUGGAAAACACCCUGCCCAGGGAGCAAAUGCCACUGUGGCCUUGACUGAGGCUUCAGAAGAGUUUGGGAGCUGCAAUUCAUCCACACACGCAUUCAUUUUCAAGUAGUGGUUUGCAGUUCAGGCUUUGGAGCCACAUAAGCCUGGCUUCAAAGCCACUUUCCAGCUUUGUAGGAAGUCUCUACAUUUUUAAACCUCCAUUUUUUUUUCCUGUAAAACUGGGGUCUUCAUGGUACUUAACUUCAUCGUGAUGUUGAGAGAAUGAAAAGAAAAAGGAUAAAUAAAUGGCUUAGCCUCGUGC